UUCUAGAUUGUCCAACCAUGAUUGCAUUGGACUUUUGUAUAAGAAGAUAUGGUUGUUUUAAAUUUGGUCUGUUUAUGUUAGAAAGGUCAAAAAACGUGUGCUAGUUAAUUUGUCUAGGUUAGUUUGUCAAAGUCUGUUUUUUUGGGCUUGACUUCUGCCAUGUUGAAUUAUUCCUAACUUUGGAGGGAUGUUCCAAUUAUAAAUAUAGUAUCAGAAUAUGUAAUAAAGAACUUUUGGCC
RNAcentral lists this long non-coding RNA (239 nucleotides) under Populus trichocarpa (black cottonwood). RNAcentral's name for it is "long non-coding RNA (PTRI_LNC001234)". Lineage: Eukaryota; Viridiplantae; Streptophyta; Magnoliopsida; Malpighiales; Salicaceae. The record is from RNAcentral.